UUUUUUUUUACUUAUUAAACUGUACUUCUCUGUUUUUGAAAAAACUGUAGUACUAUAAUCUCCUCAUUCUUCGCAUUUAAAUUGCUUUAAUUUCUCCCCCCGUUAAUUAUUUAUUUUAUUGAUUUCUUCUCUCUCAAGUAAAUUUCAUUUCUAAUGGAUAGCAUUGAAUUUAAAUUUAAAUAUUUUAUAAGUGCAUAUUAAUUCUAACAGUAAUAUCAAACAGAAUUCAUAUUCUAU
RNAcentral lists this long non-coding RNA (237 nucleotides) under Manihot esculenta (cassava). RNAcentral describes it as "long non-coding RNA (MESC_LNC000635)". The record is from RNAcentral. Lineage: Eukaryota; Viridiplantae; Streptophyta; Magnoliopsida; Malpighiales; Euphorbiaceae.